This 232-nucleotide ribosomal RNA is filed under the name uncultured bacterium. RNAcentral describes it as "partial 16S ribosomal RNA". It matches the Rfam family "Bacterial small subunit ribosomal RNA", at positions 1271 to 1500 of the family's 1533-position model. The record is from RNAcentral.
AUCCCUGAAAACCGGUCUCAGUUCGGAUCGCAGUCUGCAACUCGACUGCGUGAAGGUGGAGUCGCUAGUAAUCGCGGAUCAGCAACGCCGCGGUGAAUGCGUUCCCGGGCCUUGUACACACCGCCCGUCAAGUCAUGAAAGUGGGCAGCACCCGAAGACGGUGGCCUAACCCUUGUGGGGGGAGCCGUCUAAGGUGGGGCUCGUGAUUGGGACUAAGUCGUAACAAGGUAUC